GACGAACGUUGGCGGCGUGCUUAACACAUGCAAGUCGAACGGACAUGCCCUGCUUGCCGUGUACUCGAGUGGCGAACGGGUGAGUAACUCGCUGCCUCUCUGCACUGCCCUUCGGGAUAACCCUGGUAAACUGCGUCUAAUACCGGCCAGGCGCCCUUUUUAGCGUGCUGGUUGGAAAGUUUUUUCGGUGUAGGAUGAGCUCGCGGCCUAUCAGCUUGUUGGUUGGGUAAUGGCCUACAAAGGCGGCGACGGGUAGCCGGCCUGAGAGGGUGGACGGCCACAUUGGGACUGAGAUACGGCCCAGACGCCUACGGGAGGCAGCAGUGGGGAAUAUUGCACAAUGGGCGCAAGCCGGAUGCAGCGACGCCGCGUGGGGGAUGACGGACUUCGGGUUGGAAACUCCUUUCGCUAGGGACGAAGCUUUUUGUGACGGUACCUAGAGAAGAAGCACCGGCUAACUACGUG
This 465-nucleotide ribosomal RNA is filed under the name uncultured bacterium. Its description in RNAcentral is "partial 16S ribosomal RNA". It matches the Rfam family "Bacterial small subunit ribosomal RNA", at positions 28 to 507 of the family's 1533-position model. The record is from RNAcentral.